AGAGAUCUAAGAUGGCGGAUGAUAUGUGCUCUUCGUGCUUUAAGGGCACAAAGUAUUUUUGUUUAUCGUGCGCUAUGCCCUUCUGCUGUGAAUGUACAUUAUUCGAGAAUGAUGAAAACACACCCGUUUGGACAAUGGGAAAGUCGGUAGGGUACUGUCAGGUCUGUUUUGAGGAGAAAAGGAAAGACAAACCUGGAGUUGGAAGGAUAAUCUCCACAAUAGCUCAACAUCAUAGUAUACUUCAAUGAUAAUGGUUAUAAUUAGGUUAAAUUUAAGUUURGAUUGGGAUACUUUUAGUUCAGGCAGGUCCAAAUGAGCUUUUAAAGUUGCCAAAUUAUAAUCUGCAUUAUCAAAUGAAUAUAAAUUGCAAAAAAAAAAAUCACUUGCAUAACU
Molecule: long non-coding RNA, 393 nt
Organism: Actinia tenebrosa (Australian red waratah sea anemone)
Lineage: Eukaryota; Metazoa; Cnidaria; Anthozoa; Actiniaria; Actiniidae
Source: RefSeq, a predicted model, not a curated record